ACAAGAACGACUCUCGGCAACGGAUAUCUCGGCUCUCGCAUCGAUGAAGAACGUAGCGAAAUGCGAUACUUGGUGUGAAUUGCAGAAUCCCGUGAACCAUCGAGUCUUUGAACGCAAGUUGCGCCCGAAGCCAUUAGGUUGAGGGCACGUCUGCCUGGGUGUCACAC
This 167-nucleotide ribosomal RNA is filed under the name Krameria revoluta. RNAcentral describes it as "5.8S ribosomal RNA". It matches the Rfam family "5.8S ribosomal RNA". Rfam says of the family: 5.8S ribosomal RNA (5.8S rRNA) is a component of the large subunit of the eukaryotic ribosome. It is transcribed by RNA polymerase I as part of the 45S precursor that also contains 18S and 28S rRNA. The record is from RNAcentral. Lineage: Eukaryota; Viridiplantae; Streptophyta; Magnoliopsida; Zygophyllales; Krameriaceae.